CGGGGCGUGGCGCAGUUUGGUAGCGCACCUGGUUUGGGACCAGGGGGUCGCAGGUUCGAAUCCUGCUGCCCCGACCA
RNAcentral lists this transfer RNA (77 nucleotides) under Candidatus Syntrophocurvum alkaliphilum. Its description in RNAcentral is "tRNA-Pro". It matches the Rfam family "tRNA". From Rfam's summary of the family: Transfer RNA (tRNA) molecules are approximately 80 nucleotides in length. Their secondary structure includes four short double-helical elements and three loops (D, anti-codon, and T loops). Further hydrogen bonds mediate the characteristic L-shaped molecular structure. tRNAs have two regions of fundamental functional importance: the anti-codon, which is responsible for specific mRNA codon recognition, and the 3' end, to which the tRNAs corresponding amino acid is attached (by aminoacyl-tRNA synthetases). tRNAs cope with the degeneracy of the genetic code in two manners: having more than one tRNA (with a specific anti-codon) for a particular amino acid; and 'wobble' base-pairing, i.e. permitting non-standard base-pairing at the 3rd anti-codon position. The record is from RNAcentral. Lineage: Bacteria; Bacillati; Bacillota; Clostridia; Eubacteriales; Syntrophomonadaceae.